This 497-nucleotide ribosomal RNA is filed under the name uncultured bacterium. RNAcentral's name for it is "partial 16S ribosomal RNA". It matches the Rfam family "Bacterial small subunit ribosomal RNA", at positions 28 to 507 of the family's 1533-position model. The record is from RNAcentral.
GACGAACGCUGGCGGCAUGCCUAAUACAUGCAAGUUGAGCGAUGAAGCUUGGUGCUUGCACCAAUUUGAAGAGCAGCGAACGGGUGAGUAACGCGUGGGGAAUCUGCCUUUGAGCGGGGGACAACAUUUGGAAACGAAUGCUAAUACCGCAUAAUAACUUUAAACAUAAGUUUUAAGUUUGAAAGAUGCAAUUGCAUCACUCAAAGAUGAUCCCGCGUUGUAUUAGCUAGUUGGUGAGGUAAAGGCUCACCAAGGCGAUGAUACAUAGCCGACCUGAGAGGGUGAUCGGCCACAUUGGGACUGAGACACGGCCCAAACUCCUACGGGAGGCAGCAGUAGGGAAUCUUCGGCAAUGGACGAAAGUCUGACCGAGCAACGCCGCGUGAGUGAAGAAGGUUUUCGGAUCGUAAAACUCUGUUGGUAGAGAAGAACGUUGGUGAGAGUGGAAAGCUCAUCAAGUGACGGUAACUACCCAGAAAGGGACGGCUAACUACGUG